UGCCAGCAGCCGCGGUAAUACGAAGGGGGCUAGCGUUGUUCGGAAUAACUGGGCGUAAAGCGCACGUAGGCGGAUUGGAAAGUUAGAGGUGAAAUCCCUGGGCUCAACCCAGGAACUGCCUUUAAAACUAUCAAUCUAGAGGUCGAGAGAGGUGAGUGGAAUUCCGAGUGUAGAGGUGAAAUUCGUAGAUAUUCGGAGGAACACCAGUGGCGAAGGCGGCUCACUGGCUCGAUACUGACGCUGAGGUGCGAAAGCGUGGGGAGCAAACAGGAUUAGAUA
Molecule: ribosomal RNA, 279 nt
Filed under: uncultured bacterium
Lineage: Bacteria
Description: partial 16S ribosomal RNA
Rfam family: Bacterial small subunit ribosomal RNA
Source: RNAcentral